This is a long non-coding RNA of Bombyx mori (domestic silkworm), 340 nucleotides long. RefSeq lists it as uncharacterized. Lineage: Eukaryota; Metazoa; Arthropoda; Insecta; Lepidoptera; Bombycidae. The record is from RefSeq and is a predicted model, not a curated record. The transcript has 2 exons.
CAUCCGAAAUAAUCUGUACCACAAACAGCGUUAUGCAGUCCGAUUGUCAAAUAUAAUACGUCUUUUGUGUGCCGAAAAUCGAUUAUGGCCUUUUUGUUGUCAAAAUUCGAGGUUUGAAAUUCUCGUGUUUCACAAUAGUUACGAUGUUUAUCGGUGCCAGACAAGCAAAGCAAACAAAUAUGAACUUGAUUAUUUCUUUGAAAGCUCAUGGGAAUUGCCGUUAAUAGUGUCACUCAAGUCUGAAGUCUAUUUGAUUUGGAAAUAUCGAAGACGAAUUAUAGUUACUAUAUUAUUAAUAUUGUACUGAAUGAAGCAUUAGAAUACAAAGAUGAAAAACCUG